Molecule: ribosomal RNA, 1918 nt
Filed under: Escherichia coli
Lineage: Bacteria; Pseudomonadati; Pseudomonadota; Gammaproteobacteria; Enterobacterales; Enterobacteriaceae
Description: partial 23S ribosomal RNA
Rfam family: Bacterial large subunit ribosomal RNA
Source: RNAcentral
UGUGUGUUAGUGGAAGCGUCUGGAAAGGCGCGCGAUACAGGGUGACAGCCCCGUACACAAAAAUGCACAUGCUGUGAGCUCGAUGAGUAGGGCGGGACACGUGGUAUCCUGUCUGAAUAUGGGGGGACCAUCCUCCAAGGCUAAAUACUCCUGACUGACCGAUAGUGAACCAGUACCGUGAGGGAAAGGCGAAAAGAACCCCGGCGAGGGGAGUGAAAAAGAACCUGAAACCGUGUACGUACAAGCAGUGGGAGCACGCUUAGGCGUGUGACUGCGUACCUUUUGUAUAAUGGGUCAGCGACUUAUAUUCUGUAGCAAGGUUAACCGAAUAGGGGAGCCGAAGGGAAACCGAGUCUUAACUGGGCGUUAAGUUGCAGGGUAUAGACCCGAAACCCGGUGAUCUAGCCAUGGGCAGGUUGAAGGUUGGGUAACACUAACUGGAGGACCGAACCGACUAAUGUUGAAAAAUUAGCGGAUGACUUGUGGCUGGGGGUGAAAGGCCAAUCAAACCGGGAGAUAGCUGGUUCUCCCCGAAAGCUAUUUAGGUAGCGCCUCGUGAAUUCAUCUCCGGGGGUAGAGCACUGUUUCGGCAAGGGGGUCAUCCCGACUUACCAACCCGAUGCAAACUGCGAAUACCGGAGAAUGUUAUCACGGGAGACACACGGCGGGUGCUAACGUCCGUCGUGAAGAGGGAAACAACCCAGACCGCCAGCUAAGGUCCCAAAGUCAUGGUUAAGUGGGAAACGAUGUGGGAAGGCCCAGACAGCCAGGAUGUUGGCUUAGAAGCAGCCAUCAUUUAAAGAAAGCGUAAUAGCUCACUGGUCGAGUCGGCCUGCGCGGAAGAUGUAACGGGGCUAAACCAUGCACCGAAGCUGCGGCAGCGACACUAUGUGUUGUUGGGUAGGGGAGCGUUCUGUAAGCCUGCGAAGGUGUGCUGUGAGGCAUGCUGGAGGUAUCAGAAGUGCGAAUGCUGACAUAAGUAACGAUAAAGCGGGUGAAAAGCCCGCUCGCCGGAAGACCAAGGGUUCCUGUCCAACGUUAAUCGGGGCAGGGUGAGUCGACCCCUAAGGCGAGGCCGAAAGGCGUAGUCGAUGGGAAACAGGUUAAUAUUCCUGUACUUGGUGUUACUGCGAAGGGGGGACGGAGAAGGCUAUGUUGGCCGGGCGACGGUUGUCCCGGUUUAAGCGUGUAGGCUGGUUUUCCAGGCAAAUCCGGAAAAUCAAGGCUGAGGCGUGAUGACGAGGCACUACGGUGCUGAAGCAACAAAUGCCCUGCUUCCAGGAAAAGCCUCUAAGCAUCAGGUAACAUCAAAUCGUACCCCAAACCGACACAGGUGGUCAGGUAGAGAAUACCAAGGCGCUUGAGAGAACUCGGGUGAAGGAACUAGGCAAAAUGGUGCCGUAACUUCGGGAGAAGGCACGCUGAUAUGUAGGUGAAGUCCCUUGCGGAUGGAGCUGAAAUCAGUCGAAGAUACCAGCUGGCUGCAACUGUUUAUUAAAAACACAGCACUGUGCAAACACGAAAGUGGACGUAUACGGUGUGACGCCUGCCCGGUGCCGGAAGGUUAAUUGAUGGGGUUAGCCGCAAGGCGAAGCUCUUGAUCGAAGCCCCGGUAAACGGCGGCCGUAACUAUAACGGUCCUAAGGUAGCGAAAUUCCUUGUCGGGUAAGUUCCGACCUGCACGAAUGGCGUAAUGAUGGCCAGGCUGUCUCCACCCGAGACUCAGUGAAAUUGAACUCGCUGUGAAGAUGCAGUGUACCCGCGGCAAGACGGAAAGACCCCGUGAACCUUUACUAUAGCUUGACACUGAACAUUGAGCCUUGAUGUGUAGGAUAGGUGGGAGGCUUUGAAGUGUGGACGCCAGUCUGCAUGGAGCCGACCUUGAAAUACCACCCUUUAAUGUUUGAUGUUCUAACGU